GGUGGAAACAUUGCUGAUUAGAGUUGGUUGAAAAUCCUCGAACAAGUCACCGUCAGCUGUCUAAUGGAGCUGGUAACUUCUUGUCCUUUAGCUGGUCUCUCAGUCUCCAGGUCCCUGCGACUACUUAGCCGUGUCGCUCUGGCCCCGGCGCAGCACGUACUCGGGGCUUGCGGGGGACCUUACCCGGGAUAAGGGAAGGUUAUCCCGCUGCACUGGCCGCUGGGCUCUCGGAAGCAGGGUUAGCCAGCCACAAAGAUCUGUAGACUUUCAGGCAGGAUUUCAUGUGACUAAUUGUGAUCCCACUGGAUUUGACUGACGUUUUGGUAAUGGCUUCAGUGCAGCAUAAAUAGGCCUUUAAGAGUCAAACGUUUUUUGUGUUAUUAUUUCAUAUCAGUGCCGCAAGCCAAACGAUGAGGAACGGCUGCUGUGUGCGCUAAACGGAGAGAUCAUCUGAAAAGCAAGAUGAGUGAAAAAUCCCUGAGCUGGAAGAUCAACUACCUUUCUUCGCUGGUGAGAAAUACGGUAGGCAGAGCUGCUGGACACUUGGCAUCCCUUACCGCGCCAGACUGGAGCGCAGCUGUACCGGGAGCCUCCAUGGACCCAUCUGUGAACCCUGCUCAGCACCCCUGGGGUACAGACGGGAGCUUUGCGUACAGCCGCAGCUCGUGGUCCUGGAGCUGUUCGAGCGUUGAACCCUUUGUCCCCUGACAAGAAGGCUGUUGUGCCUUGUACUGGUGUCAGAAGUCCCAUUCAGGGACUGCAGGUUUUAGGAAUACUUUUCCCAUGUUCACCUCCCGCGCAGCAAGACGCAGGAGGCCUCUGACGCUGAACUGUGAGCGGAACCACCGCCAGCCUCUUUUUUCAGUUCACGGGACUGAACCGUUGUUACCUGAAGUGCAUCCCAGCCGCUCAGGCUAGCUUUUCUGUUCGGUGGAUGGAAGUCCGUGUCUGUAUGUACCCAACGGGGUGGGUGAGGAAGGGAGCCCGCGUGCGCGGCGCAGGGUCCGGUACCAGCCUGUCAGCUCUGAGGCACGGUGCCGCCCAGGGGUUGCUAUGCCAGAAGCCGGCUGAGGAUGAAGACUCCUCUCUCACGCUUCUUUGCUAGCUCACUGUUUUCGGCAGAGCAAACCGCCCUGCGCUGGGCCUGUCCCUUCCUUGCAGCCCGUCUGCUGGCGAUGGGGUGCUGCUGAGGGGACCGGGGCCUGCCAGCUCCCUUCCCCGGCGCCAUCCCUUCUUCCCUGCGUCGGCGAGGGAGGGGCACCUGCGGAAGGAGCUCCCUUCUCCUGCACCUUGAGCCCUUGCAGACCGACCACGUGAGCUACAGACGCCUUCUGACAGCAUGUUGUAUUUGGAGGCAGUCCUUUUCAUCCACUGUUCGUGCGAUGGAGGGGGAAUUGUUUCCGAGCACUAAUGAAGCCAAACACAGGCUGUUCUCUCUUUAUAACACAUCUUCCCUUUUUUUUUUUUUUUUCCUAGGGAAGUAUUUCAGUUACAUCUUUAAGUUAGUCCCUGAUGCCCAGUGUAGAUUUUGCUUUCCAGCUAAGUAUAACUUGGUGUUUUGCCAGGAGCACAGAUAUCCGUAACGUACAGGCUCUGACUUUUUUAAGAGAUGCUUUUGGGAUUGUGUUUAUCAGAUUCAGGGAAACCAUACCUUAUUAAGGCUUUUUUUUUCCCCCUGCCUGAAGGUUGAAAUUUUUUUUCUGAAGUACAUCAAAACUAGAACAUGACAGGGCAAUUACUUCUUUUUAAUUUAUUCAGUAGUAGUCAGUAAACAGAUACUUUCUCAUACACGCUCAGCGUGUUUUGUAUAUGCAUUUUGGUUUUGUGGAGGCAGCUUGCUGUCAAGUGAGAAGCUUCGGCACCAUCAGUCGGAUCUCUUCGUUAGUACCUAUUGACAGGAAUUUGAUCAUACAGCGUUAGCUGAAGCUGGGACCGAGCGUUGGCCCUGGCAGCGUUACUGGUUGUGAGAUGGUUGCUUUGUUCCUCCAGCAGAUACGAACCGGCACAUGGUUUGGCUGUGCAAGAUAAAUAGCGAAUGGUUAAAUAGCUUGAGAUUUCUACUCAAUAGCUUAUAUUAAUAGCAGUACAUUUGCUUUGUCACUUUAAUCUGUGAAUGCCGCGUCCUUUCAGCGCGGCAGAGCGAUGGCUGCACAGGAAAGGAGACAGCGGGAGCCUGGGAGCUUGUCCUGGGAGGGGGGAGAUGCGGUUUGCAGCCUGUCAGGCUGAUGAGGAAAUUGAACCCGGGUCUCCCCCUACUUGGAAGAGUUUUCUGAUCUGCAGGCUAUUAUUAAAAUACCCGUAUCAACACGAGCACCUGUAUCUUAGCAGAAAAACUUACCAACUGUGUUUUACCACAGGAUGUCUCGAACACACCCUGCGGUUAGAGCCCUCAGCAGACUGGAUUGCCAAACUGCCGGGGGUGGGCAAUUGGAGCUGCGCAGAGAGGAGAGGCUGCGAGCUUUCGGAGGGAAGUUAGUGAACUGAUUGCGGAAAAUGAAGCCAAUGGAGCUACGCUCACUGAAGACCAGAGCAACAGCAGGAUUUACGAGUGGGAAUGUUCACCAAAACCAUCCCAGCACAACCUUUGCAAGCACUGCAUAGUCUCCAUAAGAUACGGCAUCCACAUGGAAGAUUCGGUGUUAUAAAUUUCACCCUGUCAACAAGAAAAAGAAAACAUAUCUUUGAAGAAUGAAGUCAGAUGAGUCAAAUUUACAAUGCUAAAAACUUGGAAGAAAAUUCUAAAAAUGGCUCACGACUAAGUCAGUGGGGAUGAGGAGAGCUGACAGAUAAAUGCCACUGCACGAGACCAUGCCUGCUCGGGAAGAAAGAAAUCACAACUAGAGCAUGAAUUCCAGGUACGACUUGUCUAUGGAAGAGUUAAGAAAUCAACAGAAACAGGAAGGGGUUUCAAUUAAAUGUGGAGGAUUGUCCUCCAGAAAACUAACGUGCAAAAUAUAUGCCCCCUUAACAUGACACGUAUUAGCUUUCAAAUAUAAACUCGCCCUCUUAAAGCCGUACCAGGCAUCU
Molecule: long non-coding RNA, 3027 nt
Organism: Chroicocephalus ridibundus (black-headed gull)
Lineage: Eukaryota; Metazoa; Chordata; Aves; Charadriiformes; Laridae
Exons: 4
Source: RefSeq, a predicted model, not a curated record